Long non-coding RNA from Perca flavescens (yellow perch), 705 nucleotides. RefSeq lists it as uncharacterized. The transcript has 4 exons. The record is from RefSeq and is a predicted model, not a curated record. NCBI's taxonomy places the organism in Eukaryota, Metazoa, Chordata, Actinopteri, Perciformes, Percidae.
GCUGUGUGGAGCAGCCAGACCCUCCUUCAGAGCGCUUUGGGGGAGGGAUAACCCUUGACCCAAAGACUACUCUGCGACCUCUGAACAUGUUAGAGGCUGGGCGACGGUUGCAGGUGGACUGGUGUUUACAUGGUCCGUGGGAGCUGGAAGUCCGCAGCUGUGUGGCGGCUGCAGUGCUUUGAUUAGUCUCCUAGCUGCAGAUCUGCAGCCUCAAUAGAUGUCAUCUGGGGAAGAAGAAGAAGAAGAAGAAGAAGAAGAAGAAGAAGAAGAGGAGCCUUGUAGAGACCAGCUGAAGGAACAUCUUCUCUGAGCUGAAGCUCUGAGGACAGUAGGCUACGCUAUGCGGGAUCUAGUGAACCGGCACGAGGUCACCAGCCGCAACAUGGAGAACGCCAAAGCUCUGGCCGACAGCGGAGGCAUCGAGAAGCUGGUGGACAUCAGUAAAGGACGGGGGAAAGGGUACGAAACGGCAAAGAAACGUCACGGGGAAAUCUGUCCGCAGGGUUCAUCAAGUCGUUCAUCAAGUCUCUGCAAAACACGUCAGCUUUUACUUUUUUAGUAGUCUGGCAUUGCUGUGUCAACUAGCCAGACCUUCCUCCACAGCACUGCGAACCUUUAACUUUAAUUACGUUUCAUUUUUUUUUUAUUUUGCUUCACGAUAUGAGGGAAAUAUGCAAAAUGUUGAAUAUCUUGAUAACGAUUACU